Molecule: ribosomal RNA, 525 nt
Filed under: Wormaldia gabriella
Lineage: Eukaryota; Metazoa; Arthropoda; Insecta; Trichoptera; Philopotamidae
Description: SSU rRNA
Rfam family: Eukaryotic small subunit ribosomal RNA
Source: RNAcentral
UACUAAAGUUGUUGCGGUUAAAAAGCUCGUAGUUGAAAUUGUGUUCCGCGGCGUCUGUCUGCCUUUGCGGUACGACGGGCGCGUCUGCGGGAUUUCUCGCCGGUGCGUGUUCUCCGCCGAGGUGUCGCAUUCGUGCGGCGCCGAAGCGGGCCCUCGCGGCUGUUUACUUUGAACAAAUUAGAGUGCUCAAAGCGGGCUUAUAUUUGCCUGAAUAUUGUGCGCAUGGAAUAAUAGAAUAGGACCUCGGUUCUGUUUUGUUGGCUUUCUGAUACCGGAGGUAAUGAUUAAUAGGGACAACUGGGGGCAUUCGUAUUGCGACGUUAGAGGUGAAAUUCUUGGAUCGUCGCAAGACGGACUAAAGCGAAAGCAUUUGCCAAAGGUGUUUUCAUUAAUCAAGAACGAAAGUUAGAGGUUCGAAGGCGAUUAGAUACCGCUGUAGUUCUAACCAUAAAUGUUGCCAGCCAGCGAUCCGCCGUAGUUUCUUAUUUUGACUCGGUGGGCAGCUCCCGGGAAACCAAAGCUUUC